Molecule: long non-coding RNA, 363 nt
Organism: Saccostrea cuccullata (small rock oyster)
Lineage: Eukaryota; Metazoa; Mollusca; Bivalvia; Ostreida; Ostreidae
Exons: 3
Source: RefSeq, a predicted model, not a curated record
ACAAUAAGCAUAAUUUAUAUUUGUCUUGAAUAUGAGGACAUCGAUUAUUUGCGUGAUAAUUAUAUCAACCUUGGUGUGCUCGGUAUUUUCUGUUCGAGACACGUGUUCGGUAACAGCUGAUUGCACGUGUGCAACAGACAAAAUGCCGCAUUGCCACAUGGGUGUUUGCUAUUGUCAUCAAAUGGGUGGUCACGAAUGCCACCAUCCAGAGGAUUGUAUGUGCGAUUCCAAUCUAACUCCUUCAUGUGAUCACCAUCUGUGUCAUUGUCUAUCCAACCCCUCCUCCACUGUCCCUUAAAGAUAAUUUUGAAGAAUUUCCGGAAAACAGUACUUGAUGCUACGUUUGUUUUCUUUUGCUGCUGU